Molecule: ribosomal RNA, 497 nt
Filed under: uncultured bacterium
Lineage: Bacteria
Description: partial 16S ribosomal RNA
Rfam family: Bacterial small subunit ribosomal RNA
Source: RNAcentral
GAUGAACGCUGGCGGCGUGCCUAAUACAUGCAAGUCGAGCGAACGGACGAGGAGCUUGCUUCUCUGACGUUAGCGGCGGACGGGUGAGUAACACGUGGAUAACCUACCUAUAAGACUGGGAUAACUUCGGGAAACCGGAGCUAAUACCGGAUAAUAUUUUGAACCGCAUGGUUCAAUAGUGAAAGACGGUCUUGCUGUCACUUAUAGAUGGAUCCGCGCUGCGUUAGCUAGUUGGUAAGGUAACGGCUUACCAAGGCAACGAUGCGUAGCCGACCUGAGAGGGUGAUCGGCCACACUGGAACUGAGACACGGUCCAGACUCCUACGGGAGGCAGCAGUAGGGAAUCUUCCGCAAUGGGCGAAAGCCUGACGGAGCAACGCCGCGUGAGUGAUGAAGGUCUUCGGAUCGUAAAACUCUGUUAUUAGGGAAGAACAUAUGUGUAAGUAACUGUGCACGUCUUGACGGUACCUAAUCAGAAAGCCACGGCUAACUACGUG